Molecule: ribosomal RNA, 384 nt
Filed under: uncultured bacterium
Lineage: Bacteria
Description: bacterial SSU rRNA
Rfam family: Bacterial small subunit ribosomal RNA
Source: RNAcentral
AUUGAACGCUGGCGGCAUGCCUUACACAUGCAAGUCGAACGGCAGCACGGACUUCGGUCUGGUGGCGAGUGGCGAACGGGUGAGUAAUGUAUCGGAACGUACCUUUCAGUGGGGAUAACGUAGCGAAGUUACGCUAAUACCGCAUAUUCUGUGAGCAGGAAAGCAGGGGAUCGCAAGACCUUGCGCUGAUUGAGCGGCCGAUAUCAGAUUAGCUAGUUGGUGAGGUAAAGGCUCACCAAGGCGACGAUCUGUAGCGGGUCUGAGAGGAUGAUCCGCCACACUGGAACUGAGACACGGUCCAGACUCCUACGGGAGGCAGCAGUGGGGAAUUUUGGACAAUGGGGCGACCCUGAUCCAGCCAUGCCGCGUGAGUGAAGAAGGCCU